RNAcentral lists this long non-coding RNA (417 nucleotides) under Microcebus murinus (gray mouse lemur). Its description in RNAcentral is "lncRNA (ENSMICG00000048663.1)". Lineage: Eukaryota; Metazoa; Chordata; Mammalia; Primates; Cheirogaleidae. The record is from RNAcentral.
GGGCGCGGGGCGGGCGGGCUAUGGAGGCGGGGUUAGGGGCUCGGCCCCACCCGCUACCCAGGGGGCGGGGAAGAGACCUCCGGCUCCAUCGCGAGCAGACUCGGGGAGGACAGUGCAGAUACCCGGCGCAGACCCAAGGAACAGCCCCGAUCGCCCACUCGGCUGCAGGGGUCCCCGGGGCAGGUGCAGCAAGCCGGGACCCGCCCUAGAUGCGCUGGGAACCUUCGGCCUCCCGGCCGCGGAGCCAGGCGCUGGACGCGCCGCCCCUCCAAGGUGCGGCUGGUGCCUCCGGCGCGGGCGCUGGGCCUUUGCGAAGUUCUCCCGGAUCUCUGGGUGCAGCCACCUGAGCUGGGAGGCAGGGUGAGAGAGAAGGCAGAAGAGAGCUCCAGGCGCAGCGUGCAGACUAAGGCGUGGUGA